RNAcentral lists this ribosomal RNA (301 nucleotides) under uncultured bacterium. RNAcentral's name for it is "partial 16S ribosomal RNA". It matches the Rfam family "Bacterial small subunit ribosomal RNA", at positions 509 to 807 of the family's 1533-position model. The record is from RNAcentral.
CAGUCGCCGCGGUAAAACGAAGGGUGCAAGCGUUAAUCGGAAUUACUGGGCGUAAAGCGUGCGUAGGCGGUUUGUUAAGUCUGUUGUGAAAUCCCCGGGCUCAACCUGGGAAUGGCAAUGGAUACUGGGUCACUAGAGUGUGGUAGAGGAUAGUGGAAUUUCCGGUGUAGCAGUGAAAUGCGUAGAGAUCGGAAGGAACAUCUGUGGCGAAGGCGACUAUCUGGGCCAACACUGACACUGAGGCACGAAAGCGUGGGGAGCAAACAGGAUUAGAUACCCGAGUAGUCCCUGUCUCUUAUAC